Molecule: long non-coding RNA, 738 nt
Filed under: Phoenix dactylifera (date palm)
Lineage: Eukaryota; Viridiplantae; Streptophyta; Magnoliopsida; Arecales; Arecaceae
Description: long non-coding RNA (PDAC_LNC013237)
Source: RNAcentral
GAGAGUGCACCAAUUGUGUGAUGGUUUCCAAACCUUGAAGGGAGGUCAACACUUUCUCCUCAAAGGCUGUGUUUCUAUGGGGUGGAGGAGGAGUGUGUUGAAAUUAAAUCGAAGGAUGGUAGGGAUUAACAUUCUGGAAUGGUUGAAAGUUUUGGGAAUAAGGCUGGGAGGUAUUGGAAGUCUGCUGCUUCCAAGAGAAAUUUGGAUUGUUGCGCCACCCCGAGUUAUAAGUGUUAGAAUACGGAUCAUUACCCGGUCGGGACUGUGCUUGGGCAGCAUUUACUUGUUCUUGCACAAAUUCAGGGAAUUGUGCUGCCGAAGGGCACUCAAAAACAGUAUGAGACGGACUAGAACAGAGAGCACACACUUGUGCUUGGGGAAAGUUUGGGAGCUAUUCUCUAGACAUUAGCUGGUCCAAUUUGCGGGAUAGUGCAUCUACUUUCUCGGAUAGACCUAUGGACUGGCUAACUUCAUAUAUGGUUCCUUUUCUUUGAGAACUCGGGGGUGCUUGACGAGCGGAGGAGGCAUGGUGGAGAGAAUUUUCAUUAAGGUUCUCAAACAAUUGCCAUGCCUCAUGUUCACUUUUAAGCAUGAAAGUACCCCCACAAGAAGCAUCAACCAUUUGACGAUUUCGUUCGGAUAGUCCGUCAUAAAAGCAUUGCACUAAUUUCCACUUGGGUAUUUGAUGAUGCGGGCAUUUUCGGAGUAAAUCUCUAAAUUUUUUCCAAGUUUCAUGAA